This 468-nucleotide ribosomal RNA is filed under the name uncultured bacterium. Its description in RNAcentral is "partial 16S ribosomal RNA". It matches the Rfam family "Bacterial small subunit ribosomal RNA", at positions 28 to 507 of the family's 1533-position model. The record is from RNAcentral.
GACGAACGCUGGCGGCGUGCUUAACACAUGCAAGUCGAACGGAAAGGCCCUGCUUUUGUGGGGUGCUCGAGUGGCGAACGGGUGAGUAACACGUGAGUAACCUGCCCUUGACUUUGGGAUAACUUCAGGAAACUGGGGCUAAUACCGGAUAGGAGCUCCUGCUGCAUGGUGGGGGUUGGAAAGUUUCGGCGGUUGGGUAUGGACUCGCGGCUUAUCAGCUUGUUGGUGGGGUAGUGGCUUACCAAGGCUUUGACGGGUAGCCGGCCUGAGAGGGUGACCGGCCACAUUGGGACUGAGAUACGGCCCAGACUCCUACGGGAGGCAGCAGUGGGGAAUAUUGCACAAUGGGCGGAAGCCUGAUGCAGCAACGCCGCGUGCGGGAUGACGGCCUUCGGGUUGUAAACCGCUUUCGCCUGUGACGAAGUGUGAGUGACGGUAAUGGGUAAAGAAGCACCGGCUAACUACGUG